AGAAAAAUUGGGCUCGCUAAAGCUCGCCCUUUUUUCUUUGUCGAAGCCUCACCGGAUAAACUUUCUCCAUCUCGGCACCAACCAUGUAUUCUCUAUUUAUGCCAUAAAUAGUAUGCUAUGAAAAUCAAGAAAUAUCUUUAAAAAUAUAGUCCGCGUGUAAUUUUCUGUACCACUUGUCUUAAAAACGUUCUGUAACAAUAAAAGGUCUAAGUUUAUACUUUUUCAUUGACUUUUACUUAUUUAAUCUACCUUCCGGAACCUCCAUGUAUCCAGAUUACCCGCCAUCCACAGUGACAUCAGAUAGCUGGGUAACGCUAAUACCUGAUGGCAAGAUGUGGCGUUAUUUACCAUCGCUAAAUGAUGUAGCAGUUGAAGACAGCCAAACGAAGCGCCAGAAGGCCCCCAUGGCAGAUUGGUCCGAGCCAGAUUGUUUUAAAUGCGCUGGUGCGGGACAACUGGAGCCUUCUAUUCGGCGAGUAUAAGGGGAUCGAGGCCGAAAAGAUUUCGGUUAUUCGAAUAAACAAAUGGGACGAGGUGGCGAGCAAAAUAUCAUUAGAAUUCAGGGUCGCAAGAACUGGUGAACAAUGCUGCAAGGUGUACCACAAUUCCAAGGCUCGGUACAUUCAAAAGGUCGAAGAAAUGCGGCACCCAAUAACGGGAAGCAGUGUUGCAGUCUAGUUUUCAUCGUCAGAGGAGGUGCUUGCCUCCACGAUGCAAGGCCACCCUGUAGUUCAAGGACUGGGACGAUGUUGCAUCACAGAUGAUGAUUAGGGCAAUCGCAAACACAUUAACGAGCAACCAGGAACAGAAAGCUUCUUAAUAUGCGUUAAAAGCAGUGAGCGUGCCACAACCGCCAGCAGUGAAGAACAUAAUG
This is a long non-coding RNA of Dreissena polymorpha, 874 nucleotides long. RefSeq lists it as uncharacterized. NCBI's taxonomy places the organism in Eukaryota, Metazoa, Mollusca, Bivalvia, Myida, Dreissenidae. The transcript has 6 exons. The record is from RefSeq and is a predicted model, not a curated record.